Molecule: ribosomal RNA, 433 nt
Filed under: uncultured bacterium
Lineage: Bacteria
Description: partial 16S ribosomal RNA
Rfam family: Bacterial small subunit ribosomal RNA
Source: RNAcentral
AACGAACGCUGGCGGCAUGCCUAACACAUGCAAGUCGAACGAAGCCUUCGGGCUUAGUGGCGCACGGGUGCGUAACGCGUGGGAAUCUGCCCCUUGCUUCGGAAUAACAGAUAGAAAUGACUGCUAAUACCGGAUGAAGUCUUCGGACCAAAGAUUUAUCGGCAAGGGAUGAGCCCGCGUAGGAUUAGGUAGUUGGUGGGGUAAAGGCCUACCAAGCCGACGAUCCUUAGCUGGUCUGAGAGGAUGAUCAGCCACACUGGGACUGAGACACGGCCCAGACUCCUACGGGAGGCAGCAGUGGGGAAUAUUGGACAAUGGACGCAAGUCUGAUCCAGCAAUGCCGCGUGAGUGAUGAAGGCCUUAGGGUUGUAAAGCUCUUUUACCAGGGAUGAUAAUGACAGUACCUGGAGAAUAAGCUCCGGCUAACUCCGUG